AAUCCACAUAAUGUACGGCAGGGAAUGUUUUCAAUUUACUCGUCACUUCAUGGGCGAUCAUUCACUAAUGCAUGUAUAACAAUCUAAAACGUGAACCACUUUUCAUGACAGUAACUGAAUUAUGCAAAAGCGUAAUCGCGACCACUAAACUGCACAAAGGUUGGUCUACUGGUCCCAUUUGGGACCAGUGGCCGUUCUUCGACGAUGGUUCUAGCACAACUGAAGUUCGGGUUUACUUCUAGUUUCAUUAAGUAUCAGAUAAACCAAAUUUCCCAUUUUCUUCGCUUUCUGUCUGCCCUGUCCUUCGGUCAUGUCGUUGAGCAAUUAGUUGCCCAUGCUGACCUGUCUGCCUACCUAUUUCGAAUGCAUAAUUUCUUCCGUCAGGUACCUGUUACUAGUAGUGAUCCGCUAACCGCAGAAUGAAUCAGAGAAAUGGGUAAGUUGUCCGAGGUCGUUUUGCUACUACUACAGGGGAUAGACAAAAUAAUCUGGGCAGGCAAAAUUUUCACUUUCCAAAAAAUAUUCAACUAGCUGUAACUUUUAGAAAAAUGCAUCAAAAAUUCUCAAAUGUUCACCGUAAGUAGAUCAACUAGUUGUGUGGUCAAAAAGAUCGGGCUAUUCUGCACGAAGUAAUAAAGAGUCUAGGAAAAGGUAUAAUUAGCCGACAGCUGACUUUGAGCUGUUAUAUCUCCGGAUUCAAUGAACCGAAUGCAAUGAAAUUUUGACCAUUUAUGACUUAUAUAAUGGGCUAUGGAAAACUUUUGACUUAACCCUCUGAUACCCAAUCCCGCCUUUAGACGGGGUAUAGUUUGAGCAUUUUUAUAAUUUUUGCUACGUGGAGAAUCAAAAUUUUUAUAUUUUUGGCUGAUAUUUAGGACUGUUAUGUAUAUCUCAAAAUGGUUUUUGGUGUAUAUUAAAGUGUAUUUACAUUUUUUAAAAAUCAUUGAAAAAUUGAUGUUUAAGUCACCUUUUAGAAGUCAUUGUUUAUUUUGUAUUGAAUCGCUACAAUUAACAUAUUUUAAAUUUUUCCCAAAUCAUUCUACCCUAGUUUAAUAGUUUAAGGGAAUCGAAUACACUCUUAAAUUAUUUUCCUUAAAAUUACACGAAAAAUAAAAUUUUCUAUGAAAAAAAUUUAAAAUAAAAAUAUUUCAACAAUAAUCAUAAAAUCGCAAAAUGUUUUCAUCUCGAAAAAUCCGUACCCCAAAUAGGCUUCCAGGAAAAAUAUUAAAGUGUGGGGAUGUUCAAAAAUAAAAAUUAGAAAAAUCAAAAACUGAAAUUCACGAAAUCGAGAAUUAAAAAGAAUCGUCUUCCAAAGCAUAUUUAAAUCGAUUUUAGAUGACGAAAAAUGAUAUUUAGAUCAAAAUCAAAAAUUUGGGUAUUAGAGGGUUAACUUAAAAUUCUUAACAUGGAGGAAAUUAUAACGAUUAGAUUAUUUUUCUAAUAAAACACCAAAUUAUACAAAAUUUUAACAUCGUUUCAAAAUUAAAGAUGCUAAUUAUAGUUCAUAUAAAUUCCCUCUAAUUGACUUGAAUAUAAAUAUGUUUUGAAGGAAAGUAACAACACAGCCGGCAAUAAAUUGAAAAUGUAAUGGGAUGCAUAUUUAAAAUAGACCAAUUAACUAAAAAAUCCUAAAAUGAAUUAAAUUGUUAUAACUUUUUCUCUUGUUAAUAAUUUCAAGUUAAGUCACACGUUUUUCAGAGGUCAUUAUAUAAGCCAUAAAUUGUCAAAAUUUAAUUGUAUUAUGCUAUGUUCAGACUACGCCGUUGUAUCAUGAUAUAAGCGGUUUUCGUGAUACAAGGCCAAUAUCAUGUUUCUGGAACGUGAUAUUGCCAUACAUUUUUGACACCUCCAAUAUCACCUUCUCGAACGUGAUAUUCUGAAUAUCACGAUACAACUGCUCGAAUUUGCUGCUCGAAUGACGAUUUUCUGGCAACCCUGUCGGAUUUGACAGCAAUGCCAAACCAGAAAGUUUGUUUUUAUUUAUAAUCUUUUUUCAUUUUUCGCGUCCACAACGGCUACUACCGCAAGAAAAACCGGGAUCAGAAACCAAGUUGUGUGAUAAUCUUUCGUAAUAUCGGAGAAAGUCGGUGCGGAUGUGCAGAUCCGGAUAGUGUUUCGGUUGGGGUAGGAACAUCGCCACAAAAAAGGAACCAUUGUGUUAAUUUCGGGAAGCGGCAAUAGUGGAAUCCAGGAAUCGGCAGCAUUUACCGCGACACUGAACGAGGCAAAAGUUCCAAUACGGUCACCAGCAAUUACCAUAAUUUGUGGAGGUAUUUUUACUGGCACAUGCAACGAAGGUGUAUUCUUCCUCCAGGGUAAAUGAAAUUCGCCGUGGACAUUCACCUGACACCGGUUACCUCUGCCAUACAAAGCGCCAGCAACCACAUUUGGAAAUUCUAUCUAAACAAUCAUCGGCAUUUCGGUCGAUGCAUGAUGCACGGAUGUCGAUAUGGAGGUUCAAUAAGGUCAAUCAUCGAGUGGUUGAGAAACUGAAACUGCCGCCUAAUGCGAUGGUGACCGUGACGCCCAACAGCAAAAUCAGCACAUUGAUCCGGAGCUGGACCAAAUGAUGCUAGAGCUCUACCCAAAAUUGAUCUACCUACUGAUCCAGACUGAUCCUAGCCAAGAUUAUCGCCUGCUUAUUUUUAAUUUUAAGUGAAAUGGUUCAAGGAUGAUUUGAUCUGAACGGAUAUUUCAAGAUAUAUUGAUGUUGUGAACGAAGUACGGUAAAUAAUUUAUUGAAUUAUAGCCAUUUGUCUUGGUAUUAUACUGUUGACAAUUGAUA
Long non-coding RNA from Aedes albopictus (Asian tiger mosquito), 2785 nucleotides. RefSeq lists it as uncharacterized. NCBI's taxonomy places the organism in Eukaryota, Metazoa, Arthropoda, Insecta, Diptera, Culicidae. The transcript is spliced from 2 exons. The record is from RefSeq and is a predicted model, not a curated record.